Molecule: ribosomal RNA, 433 nt
Filed under: uncultured bacterium
Lineage: Bacteria
Description: partial 16S ribosomal RNA
Rfam family: Bacterial small subunit ribosomal RNA
Source: RNAcentral
AACGAACGCUGGCGGCAUGCCUAACACAUGCAAGUCGAACGAGACCUUCGGGUCUAGUGGCGCACGGGUGCGUAACGCGUGGGAACCUGCCCUUAGGUUCGGAAUAACUCCCCGAAAGGGGUGCUAAUACCGGAUAAUGUCUUCGGACCAAAGAUUUAUCGCCUUUGGAUGGGCCCGCGUUGGAUUAGCUAGUUGGUAGGGUAAAAGCCUACCAAGGCGACGAUCCAUAGCUGGUCUGAGAGGAUGAUCAGCCACACUGGGACUGAGACACGGCCCAGACUCCUACGGGAGGAAGCAGUGGGGAAUAUUGGACGAUGGGCGAGAGCCUGUGCCAGCCGUGCCGCGUGAGUCAUGAAGGCGUUAGGGUUGUAAAGCUCUUUUACCCGGGAUGAUAAUGACAGUACCGGGAGAAUAAGCUCCGGCUAACUCCGUG